Molecule: long non-coding RNA, 596 nt
Organism: Suricata suricatta (meerkat)
Lineage: Eukaryota; Metazoa; Chordata; Mammalia; Carnivora; Herpestidae
Exons: 3
Source: RefSeq, a predicted model, not a curated record
AGGAGGUAGUGGUGGAGGCCAGGGAUGCUAACUACCCUGCGAUGCACAUGAUACCUCUGCCUCCCCACAUGCCAACAGUGCUGAGGCAGAGAAGCUCUGCCUUAGCCCCACCCAGAACCUGGCACAACCGUAAAUAGUCCCUUUGGUGAUGUCUCUCCAAGUAAACAGUCUGGCAAUCCCUAGCUCCCCCACUCCUCAUCAGCUCUCUGGGCAAAAAGGUGGUAACAGGUGAAAAGUGGCCACUUGGGAUGAACAGAGCCCUUUCUGUCUGGAGGUGGAAAAAUUUUCCAGGUCUGAAGCCAUUUUCAUAUGGAACGAAUGAUUCCCCAAAGUACCUGCAGACCAAGCUCCCUCAGGCUGACACCCCCACAGACGCAGUCACAACCCUGGUGCAUGUAUUUUCCUCGUUGACCCGUCAUGAAACCAGAUCCUUGGUUUUCAUUUGAAAGAAAAGAUAUAUAUUUUUAAAAACCUGUAUUUUUAAUGUUAAAAAAGCUAUAAUUUAAAAAAUGUGGGCCCACCUCAAAUCACUGGGUAAAUAUAUGUAUAUUUCCCCCUAAUUUUAAAAAUGGAUACAGCCAACACGAAUAAAAACA